CAAUAUAUGAUAUAUUGAUGUUUUGAUAUCAGUAUCACACGCUACUCACUUCACCAAUCAGCAGCACCAAGACUCCAAGAGUCUACUCAACGGAUGAUUAAACUAAAGUAAUUGUCUAAUUGAUAUUAAAUCUCAAAAAAUUAUUUUAUUUAUUAACUUAAAAAUAUUUUAGUAAUAUUAUACAUUAGUAAAUUAGUAAUAGUAAUUGUAUUGUUGUAUUGUAUAUGCAUACAACACAUAUUAUAUAUUAGUAAUAGUAGUUCUUAUUUCUCACAUAUAUAUACAUACAGUUUUAUAGUUAUAGUUAUAGUAUUUUUAUUUUUAGUUUCUCUCCUUUGUUUAAACUUCUAUUUCUCUCGCAUAGACAUGCACAUAUUGUGAGUUUGUGAUUGUGACAAUGGCUCUGAAAUUUGAAGAAACUUUGAGUACUUCAAAUGUGGAUACUUACAAGUCUGAGUUAGACUUAUACUUGGAGGAAGCAGUUGUACCUAGGGGUGGAGAGUUUGAUAAUUUAGCUUGGUGGAAGACAAAUGGUCUUAAAUAUCAAACAUUACAACAAGUUGCUAGAGAUGUUUUGGCUAUCCCAGUGUCUACAGUUGCUUCUGAAUCUGCCUUCAACACUAGUUGAAGUCAUGUGACUCCUUGUUGUAAUAGGCUUCAUCCAAACAUGUUGGAGGCAUUAGUAUGUACACAAGAUUGGUUAUGGGAUGAGAAACUAAAUACAUCACAAAAUAAGGGUUCAUAUAGUACAUUCUUUGAUGAUGUCGAAGAUGAUGAAGCGGGUCCAAGUUUUGUAGAUUCCAAUCCUUGAAGAAUAAAGACUCUUCAAUGGUAGUCUUGACUACUACUAGUUUUCAAAGUUGAAGAUGAAGACAUUAUUAUAAUUUUAUUAAGUUUAUUAAGUUUUGUGUGUUUGUUUGAAUUUUAAGUUUAUGCUUAUGGUUUUAAAGCUUAUGUUUAUGAAUUUUAAUUUUAACAUUGAAGGGGUUUUUGAUUUUACAAUUUAUCUAAAUGACUAUUAAUUAUGGAAUGAAUUUAAUUCUAUGUUGUUUGAAUUUA
Long non-coding RNA from Cannabis sativa, 1059 nucleotides. RefSeq lists it as uncharacterized. The transcript has 4 exons. The record is from RefSeq and is a predicted model, not a curated record. NCBI's taxonomy places the organism in Eukaryota, Viridiplantae, Streptophyta, Magnoliopsida, Rosales, Cannabaceae.